This 422-nucleotide ribosomal RNA is filed under the name uncultured bacterium. RNAcentral describes it as "bacterial SSU rRNA". It matches the Rfam family "Bacterial small subunit ribosomal RNA", at positions 355 to 774 of the family's 1533-position model. The record is from RNAcentral.
UGAGGAAUAUUGGGCAAUGCCCGAAAGGGUGACCCAGCAACGCCGCGUGGAGGAUGAAGGUCGUAAGAUUGUAAACUCCCGUUAGAGGGGAAGAAUAACUAAGUUUGGAGCUUAGUAUGACUGUACCCUCAGAGAAAGCCCCGGCUAACUACGUGCCAGCAGACGCGGUAAUACGUAGGGGGCAAGCGUUGUCCGGAUUUCCUGGGUGUAAAGGGCGCGCAGGCGGAAUGGAAAGUCAGUGGUGAAAUCCUACAGCUUAACUGUAGAACUGCCUUUGAUACUUUCAUUCUUGAGUUCGGGAGAGAGAGACGGAAUUCCAGGUGUAGUGGUGAAAUACGUAGAUAUCUGGAAGAACACCAGUUGCGAAGGCGGUCUCUUGGUCCGAUACUGACGCUGGGGCGCGAAAGCGUGGGGAGCAAACA